Molecule: ribosomal RNA, 258 nt
Filed under: uncultured Lactobacillus sp.
Lineage: Bacteria; Bacillati; Bacillota; Bacilli; Lactobacillales; Lactobacillaceae
Description: partial 16S ribosomal RNA
Rfam family: Bacterial small subunit ribosomal RNA
Source: RNAcentral
CGAUGAUGCAUAGCCCGAGUUGAGAGACUGAUGGCCACAUUGGGACUGAGACACGGCCCAAACUCCUACGGGAGGCAGCAGUAGGGAAUCUUCCACAAUGGACGAAAGUCUGAUGGAGCAACGCCGCGUGAGUGAAGAAGGUUUUCGGAUCGUAAAGCUCUGUUGUUGGUGAAGAAGGAUAGAGGUAGUAACUGACCUUUGUUUGACGGUAAUCAAUUAGAAAGUCACGGCUAACUACGUGCCAGCAGCCGCGGUAAU